Molecule: ribosomal RNA, 428 nt
Filed under: uncultured bacterium
Lineage: Bacteria
Description: partial 16S ribosomal RNA
Rfam family: Bacterial small subunit ribosomal RNA
Source: RNAcentral
GUCGAGAAUCUUCCGCAAUGCGCGAAAGCGUGACGGAGCGACACCGCGUGAUGGAUGAAGUCCUUCGGGGCGUAAACAUCUUUUAUAAAGGAGGAAAUUUUUGACGUUACUUUAUGAAUAAGGGGCUCCCAAUCUCGUGCCAGCAGGAGCGGUAAUACGAGAGCCUCAAGCGUUAUCCGGAAUCAUUGGGCGUAAAGGGUGCGUAGGUGGUUUGAUUAGUCUCCCGUUAAAACUUCGAGCUUAACUCGAAAAGAGCGGGGGAAACGGUCAAACUAGAGUAUGUGAGAGGUGUGUGGAACUCAUGGUGUAGGGGUGAAAUCCGUUGAUAUCAUGGGGAACACCAAAAGCGAAGGCAGCACACUGGCACAUCACUGACACUUAGGCACGAAACCUACGGUAGCGAAUGGGAUUAGAUACCCCUGUAGUCC